GUUCCCAAUGAUGAAUUAACCAUGCUAAUACUGAUACUAUCUGACGAGUAAUAUAUUAUUACUGAGGGAGCC
Triticum aestivum (bread wheat) is the source of this 72-nucleotide non-coding RNA. Lineage: Eukaryota; Viridiplantae; Streptophyta; Magnoliopsida; Poales; Poaceae. The record is from Rfam.